UUAAGUGGAGAGUUUGAUCCUGGCUCAGAGCGAACGCUAGCGGCGCGCCUAACACAUGCAAGUCGAGCGAGAAAGAGGGGGCAACUCCUUGAGUAAAGCGGCGAACGGGUGAGUAAUGCAUGGGUAAUCUACCUAUAAGACUGGGAUAACCUUCCGAAAGGAGGGCUAAUACCGGAUAAGACCACAUGACUUUUGUUGUGGGGUUAAAGAUGGGGAUUCGCAAGAACCUAUCAUUUAUGGAUGAGCCCAUGUCCCAUCAGCUUGUUGGUAGGGUAAUGGCCUACCAAGGCUAAGACGGGUAGCUGGUCUGAGAGGACGAUCAGCCACACUGGCACUGAAACACGGGCCAGACUCCUACGGGAGGCAGCAGUGGGGAAUCUUGCGCAAUGGGCGAAAGCCUGACGCAGCGACGCCGCGUGAGGGAAGAAGGCCUUCGGGUCGUAAACCUCUGUCUAGGGGGAAGAAACUUCUGGAGGAUAAUAUCCUUCAGGAUUGACGGUACCUCUGGAGGAAGCAUCGGCUAACUACGUGCCAGCAGCCGCGGUAAUACGUAGGAUGCAAGCGUUGCUCGGAAUUAUUGGGCGUAAAGGGCGCGUAGGUGGUUCUGUAAGUCAGAUGUGAAAGCCCUCGGCUCAACUGAGGAAUUGCAUUUGAAACUGCAGGGCUUGAGUACGGGAGAGGGGGGUGGAAUUCCUGGUGUAGCGGUGAAAUGCGUAGAUAUCAGGAGGAACACCGGUGGCGAAGGCGACCCCCUGGACCGAUACUGACACUGAGGCGCGAAAGCGUGGGUAGCAAACAGGAUUAGAUACCCUGGUAGUCCACGCCCUAAACGAUGAACACUAGGUGUGGGGGGAGUUAAAUCCUCCUGUGCCGCAGCUAACGCGAUAAGUGUUCCGCCUGGGGAGUACGGCCGCAAGGUUGAAACUCAAAGGAAUUGACGGGGGCCCGCACAAGCGGUGGAGCAUGUGGUUCAAUUCGACGCUACGCGAAGAACCUUACCUAGGCUUGACAUCUGGGGAACCCCGAUGAAAGUCGGGGGUGCCUCGCAAGAGGAGCCCCAAGACAGGUGCUGCAUGGCUGUCGUCAGCUCGUGCCGUGAGGUGUUGGGUUAAGUCCCGCAACGAGCGCAACCCUUACCCUUAGUUGCCAUCAGGUAAUGCUGGGCACUCUAUGGGAACUGCCAGCGUUAAGCUGGAGGAAGGUGGGGAUGACGUCAAGUCAUCAUGGCCUUUAUGCCUAGGGCUACACACGUGCUACAAUGGCCGGUACAAAGGGCUGCAAGCCUGCGAAGGUGAGCCAAUCCCAAAAAACCGGUCUCAGUUCGGAUUGGAGUCUGCAACUCGACUCCAUGAAGCUGGAAUCGCUAGUAAUCGCGGAUCAGAACGCCGCGGUGAAUACGUUCCCGGGCCUUGUACACACCGCCCGUCACACCACGAAAGCCUGUUAUACCAGAAGUCGGUGGGCUAACCGCAAGGGGGCAGCCGCCUAAGGUAUGGCCGGUGAUUGGGGUGAAGUCGUAACAAGGUAGCCGUAGGGGAACCUGCGGCUGGAUCACCUCCUUUCU
RNAcentral lists this ribosomal RNA (1564 nucleotides) under Deltaproteobacteria bacterium GWF2_42_12. RNAcentral's name for it is "bacterial SSU rRNA". It matches the Rfam family "Bacterial small subunit ribosomal RNA". The record is from RNAcentral. Lineage: Bacteria; Deltaproteobacteria.